UACGUAGGGGGCUAGCGUUGUCCGGAAUCAUUGGGCGUAAAGCGCGUGUAGGCGGUCCGGUAAGUCCGCUGUGAAAGUCGAGGGCUCAACCCUCGAAUGCCGGUGGAUACUGUCGGGCUAGAGUGCGGAAGAGGCGAGUGGAAUUCCUGGUGUAGCGGUGAAAUGCGCAGAUAUCAGGAGGAACACCUAUUGCGAAGGCAGCUCGCUGGGACGUUACUGACGCUGAUGCGCGAAAGCGUGGGGAGCAAACGGG
RNAcentral lists this ribosomal RNA (253 nucleotides) under uncultured bacterium. RNAcentral's name for it is "partial 16S ribosomal RNA". It matches the Rfam family "Bacterial small subunit ribosomal RNA", at positions 524 to 776 of the family's 1533-position model. The record is from RNAcentral.